AACGAACGCUGGCGGCAUGCCUAACACAUGCAAGUCGAACGAGACCUUCGGGUCUAGUGGCGCACGGGGGCGUAACGCGUGGGAACCUGCCCUUAGGUUCGGAAUAACUCCCCGAAAGGGGUGCUAAUACCGGAUAAUGUCUUCGGACCAAAGAUUUAUCGCCUUUGGAUGGGCCAGCGUUGGAUUAGCUAGUUGGUAGGGUAAAAGCCUACCAAGGCGACGAUCCGUAGCUGGUCUGAGAGGAGGAUCAGCCACACUGGGACUGAGACACGGCCCAGACUCCUACGGGAGGCAGCAGUGGGGAAUAUUGCACAAUGGGCUAAAGCCUGAUCCACCUAUGCCGCGUGAGUGAUGAAGGCCUUAGGGUUGUAAAGCUCUUUUACCCGGGAUGAUAAUGACAGUACCGGGAGAAUAAGCUCCGGCUAACUCCGUG
Molecule: ribosomal RNA, 433 nt
Filed under: uncultured bacterium
Lineage: Bacteria
Description: partial 16S ribosomal RNA
Rfam family: Bacterial small subunit ribosomal RNA
Source: RNAcentral